Molecule: ribosomal RNA, 165 nt
Filed under: uncultured bacterium
Lineage: Bacteria
Description: partial 16S ribosomal RNA
Rfam family: Bacterial small subunit ribosomal RNA
Source: RNAcentral
CUAGUAAUCGCGGAUCAGCAUGCCGCGGUGAAUACGUUCCCGGGCCUUGUACACACCGCCCGUCACACCAUGGGAGUUGGAAAUACCCGAAGCCUGUGAGCUAACUUAAAGAGGCAGCAGUCGAAGGUAGAGCCAAUGAUUGGGGUGAAGUCGUAACAAGGUACC